UUGGCACAGUGGUUGAGCACUCAGCUGCUAACUGAAAAGCUGGUGGUUCGAAUCCACCA
This 59-nucleotide transfer RNA is filed under the name Loxodonta africana (African savanna elephant). It matches the Rfam family "tRNA", at positions 7 to 64 of the family's 71-position model. From Rfam's summary of the family: Transfer RNA (tRNA) molecules are approximately 80 nucleotides in length. Their secondary structure includes four short double-helical elements and three loops (D, anti-codon, and T loops). The record is from Rfam by way of RNAcentral. Lineage: Eukaryota; Metazoa; Chordata; Mammalia; Proboscidea; Elephantidae.